AGUGAACGCUGGCGGCAGGCCUAAUACAUGCAAGUCGAACGGCAGCACAGCAGAGCUUGCUCUGUGGGUGGCGAGUGGCGGACGGGUGAGGAAUACAUGGGAAUCUGCCCAGUCGUGGGGGAUAACGUAGGGAAACUUACGCUAAUACCGCAUGCGCCCUUCGGGGGAAAGCCGGGGACCGUAAGGCCUGGCGCGAUUGGAUGAGCCCAUGUCGGAUUAGCUAGUUGGCGGGUAAAGGCCCACCAAGGCGACGAUCCGUAGCUGGUCUGAGAGGAUGAUCAGCCACACUGGAACUGAGACACGGUCCAGACUCCUACGGGAGGCAGCAGUAGGGAAUAUUGGACAAUGGGCGCAAGCCUGAUCCAGCCAUGCCGCGUGAGUGAAGAAGGCCCUCGGGUUGUAAAGCUCUUUUGUCCGGAAAGAAAGGCGCCGGGUUAAUACCCUGGUGUCCUGACGGUACCGGAAGAAUAAGCACCGGCUAACUUCGUGCCAGCAGCCGCGGUAAUC
This 507-nucleotide ribosomal RNA is filed under the name uncultured bacterium. RNAcentral's name for it is "bacterial SSU rRNA". It matches the Rfam family "Bacterial small subunit ribosomal RNA", at positions 29 to 525 of the family's 1533-position model. The record is from RNAcentral.